UAUAAUGUGAAAUAUAGAUUCUAAAUUAUUAAAAUGAUCCAUAACUAAAUUAAUAAAAUAAAACUAAGUAAAAAUAAUAAUAUAAUAAAUUAUAAAAUAAAAUAAAACCAAAUGAUAAAAAGAAAAAUAAAAUAAACCAGAUAAUACUUAUUUUAAACAGAUAUAUAAAAUUUUAAAUAAAAUAAAACUAAUUAUAAAACAAAUAUAUAAAACUUAGGGUUAAAUACACUUUACCCCCUGUAAUGUUAGCGAGUUUAGGGUUACCCCCCUGGUAAAGUUAUUUUUUC
Molecule: long non-coding RNA, 287 nt
Filed under: Lathyrus oleraceus (garden pea)
Lineage: Eukaryota; Viridiplantae; Streptophyta; Magnoliopsida; Fabales; Fabaceae
Description: Pisum sativum (pea) long non-coding RNA (PSAT_LNC010062)
Source: RNAcentral